RNAcentral lists this ribosomal RNA (1081 nucleotides) under uncultured Rhizaria. Its description in RNAcentral is "SSU rRNA". It matches the Rfam family "Eukaryotic small subunit ribosomal RNA", at positions 577 to 1674 of the family's 1831-position model. The record is from RNAcentral.
CGGUAAUUCCAGCUCCAAUAGCGUAUACUAAAGUCGUUGCAGUUAAAAAGCUCGUAGUUGGAUUUCUGCGGGGACGGAGCGGCCGGUCGCAACUUGCGACUCGAGCUAGCGCUUUCCCCGCAUCCUGCCGCGAACCGUGCUACCAUUAGCUUGGUGGCGCAGGGGAUCGGCUCGAUUACUUUGAGAAAAAUAGAAUGUUCAAAGCAGGCCACACGCCUUGAAUAAGUUAGCAUGGAAUAAUGACUAAGGACUUUGGUUCUUUUCGUUGGUGUUCGGGACUGAAGUAAUGAUUGAUAGGGACAGUUGGGGCGGUCCGUAUUCCAAAGCGAGAGGUGAAAUUCUUAGACCUUCGGAAGACGAACAGCUGCGAAAGCGUUCCGCAAGGAUGUUCCCUUUGAUCAAGAACGAAAGUUGGGGGAUCGAAGACGAUCAGAUACCGUCGUAGUCUCAACUAUAAACUAUACCAGCUAGGGAUCGGCCAACGUUUAAUUUAUCGACUUGGUCGGCACCUUAUGAGAAAUCAAAGCAUCUGGGUUCCGGGGGGAGUAUGGUCGCAAGGCUGAAACUUAAAGGAAUUGACGGAAGGGCACCACCAGCCGUGGAGCCUGUGGCUUAAUUUGACUCAACACGGGAAAACUUACCAGGUCCAGACAUAGGAAGGAUUGACAGAUUGAUAGCUCUUUCUUGAUUCUGUGGGUGGUGGUGCAUGGCCGUUUUUAGUCGGUGGAUGUGAUCUGUCUGCUUAAUUGCGUUAACGGACGAGACCCCAGCCUGCUAAAUAGCGCGGCCGAGCUUUGCUCGGUGCGAGCUUCUUAGAGGGACCAUGAUGCGCGAUAGCACAAGGAAGUUUGGGGCAACAACAGGUCUGUGAUGCCCUUAGAUGUUCUGGGCCGCACACGGGCUACACUGGCGCCUGCAACGAGCAUAUCAGCUGGCCCGAGAGGGUCUUGGCUAAUCUUUGGAACCGGCGCCGUGCUUGGGAUUGACCAUUGCAAUUGUUGGUCAUGCAACGAGGAAUGCCUUGUAAACGCGAGUCAUCAGCUCGCAUUGAAUACGUCCCUGCCCUUUGUACACACCGCCC